AUGGCCGAGCCGGUGCCGCACCUCACCGACGAGAUCAUGGAGGAGAUCUUCCUCCGCCUGGACACGCCGGCCGCGCUCGCCCGCGCCUCAACCGCCUGCCCCCGUUACCGCCGCGUCAUCACCCAGCGCUCCUUCCUCCGCCGCUACCGCAAACGCCACCCGCCGCCGCUCCUCGGACUCCUCAGCGAGCAAGACGGCUUCCACCCCGCUCAGGCGCCCCACCCCUCCGCCCCGCUCGCGCGCGCCCUCGCCGCCGCCGCUGAUUUCACCUACUCAUUCGUCCCCAAGCUCAAAGUUGGUACCCCACCGUUCCCUGCCGACUGGUAUCUCCGCGACGGCCGCCGCUACGUGUUGAUUCCGCCCAUACCCAAGGACCUAGCCGUCCAGGAAGAGAAAUUUGUUCAAAUCGAGACAAUGCUCGCUCCCGUCGGUGACGAAGAGGAUGAGACGGCCUUCAGAGUUAUCUGCCCGGCGCACUACACCGGCAAAUUGGUUGCAUUUGUCUUCUCCUCCGUCACUUCAAAUUGGUGUAUAGCUGCAUCCACCAGCUGGAGUUCUUUGGGCUUGGUUCAGCCCAAUUUGACAUUGUCCGAUCACAGUUGCCUACAGGGCUGCUUCUACUGGUCGGACCUUUGCAGUUUCUGGAGGGACAAGUGGCUUGUGCCCUGGAGGGACAAGUGGCUUGUGCUGGACACGCGCACAAUUGAGUUCUGCACUAUCGACUUCCUCACAGGUUACCAUAAGCAACUUGUAGAUCAGCCUGGCCAGAGGAGACGCCAGUCUUCCAUUGUAGUGGCUAGAGAGGAAGAAGCCCUUAAGAUGGUUUCUCUCGUCGGUGAUAGGAAUACAAAAGGCACGUUUGCUGUCCAUCACACCAUUCAGAAAGAUAACGAUGACUCUUCCAUGGACUGGCAGCUGAAGGAAAUCAGACCGUUGUCUAGCCAGUAUUACUAUUACACCGUGGGUGCAGCUGAGGGAUUCCUAUUCCUUGGAGCUACUACCUUUGCAGAAGAGGAGUGGGUAGCUGAUGGAGCCUGGUUGAGGCAGAGGAGUUAUUUUGAAGUACAUUAUUUUUCGCUGGAUGUCCGGACUUCUGAACUUACAAAGGUUUGCAUUCUUAUUGUUCUUGUAGAAGAUUUUGUGUCAGUCAGUAAUUCGCUACCUUUCCAUUAUCAACUGGGGACUGAUGGCCUCGCCGGCGCCACCGGCUGCGUCACCCCGCAUUGUCCUCAGGGCUACACAGUGAUGCUCCUAUCCGAAAUUGAAAUCUAA
This 1272-nucleotide ribosomal RNA is filed under the name Triticum aestivum (bread wheat). Its description in RNAcentral is "partial small subunit ribosomal RNA". The record is from RNAcentral. Lineage: Eukaryota; Viridiplantae; Streptophyta; Magnoliopsida; Poales; Poaceae.